UGCUCCAUGUUAUCAUUUAUCAAUCCAAAUAAGAACCAUUUAAAAUUGGCAAUACUAGACAGUCGACAAUUCAUAAUAACCUUAACUGUCCUUCACAAAGUUUAAUUGUUUAAAAUUAACAAUACAGCAGCAAAUUAACUGUCCUUCACAAAGUUUAUGACUUCACAAAGUCUAAUUAUAAUCUAGUAACAGCUAACAUGCAACAGCAACUAGCAGCAACAUGAACAUGAGCAGCAAAUUGCAGGCUUUUCAGCAGCCAACAGUGCAAUAACAACACGAACAAGCACAAUUAAAUAUCAUUGUAACAGCAACAUGAACAGCAACAGCAACAUGCAACACAAGCAAGCAAGAGAAAUCCCCGCAACUGCAUAAAUAAAUCAUUUAUCCAUUGAGUCAAUGUAUGUAUCAUCUUAGAUAUCCCAGUAAGUUCACAAAGCCAAAAGUUAUAAAAAGCUUAGCUCAAAGUAAUGUACAAAGCCAAAAGGAAUCUGAGGCCAGUUAUAAUGAGAUCUUAUGUUGCAGUUCAUCACAAUCUAAGACCAUUUCUAAGAUUCUUCUGUGUAUUAAAUUGUACAAAUUCUUGCAAGUGUAGUUCCAAAUUUGUCUCUUUAAUUCCACAUUAGGGGGAAGCUAAGACUUUUCUGAACAUCUAUGGAAAUAGAACCAAACACCCCAAAUUGAUUUACUGAAAUCUUAAUAUCAAAAACUAGAAUAUCACACAAGUAAGCAUUUAUAUAAGGCUAAUUAUUAAAAUAUCCCAUAGCAGAACAGUUGGGUAGUUGGGCUAUCUUGAUAAACAAAUUCACAUAUUGACAAAGGAAAACCUCAAUUCAAGGAAUCAAGGUUAUAGUUUCAGGUGAUAGAUGUUAUCAUGUUACCACCAUCCAAAUUGAUUUUCAGGAAGAAAACACAAAUAUAUUAGGCUUUUAACUUCAUAUGUCCACAAACAGUAGAAAACUUGAAAAAAUUAGUCUUAGUCUAACAAUUAAACAUGUAAUCAAAAUCAACAUAAAUAUAUUAGUACUAAAUCGAAGCUAGAGACAAAAAAACAGAGGUUAAAACUUUUAGUACCAAAUAGUUUGCAAGAGAACUGCCGAAUACCCACCGAGACGCGGAGCUGCGAUUUGCGAAGGCCGAACGAAGGGUGAGAUCGUGAGAGACUGAGAGGCGGAGACUAAGACGGAGAGAGGCGGAGAGGAUGUGAUGUGCGAUACUGAGAUAGAGUCGGAGAGAGGUGAAAGCGAAACUGAGAGAGUCGAGACUGAGAGGAGAGGAAUUGGGAAUGGAAAUUAGGGACUAGGGCAAAAUGUGAAUACACAGUACAGAUAAACA
Molecule: long non-coding RNA, 1332 nt
Filed under: Panax ginseng (ginseng)
Lineage: Eukaryota; Viridiplantae; Streptophyta; Magnoliopsida; Apiales; Araliaceae
Description: long non-coding RNA (PGIN_LNC006596)
Source: RNAcentral